CUUAUGACGAAAUUAAGAUGUUUUUUUGAUUACUUUUCGAGUAAAAGAGCAUAAAUGUACCCUGUGAUUCGUCCCAGGUUCACUCUGAACCAUGCAAGAGAAAAACAUCGCCACGGAGAAUGUUCACACCUUAGUAAAAGUAAUCUUGGUUUAUUUCAGAAUGUGCCUGCAUGCGUGUGUGUGUGUGGCGAUGGUUUUGUUUAUGUUUGCUAACACAUCUACUGAACCGCAAAGAACUGUACCGAGCUUCUUAACAGCUGUAUGCGAGCGUAAAUCAUUCCAUCAUGCGGCGACGAGAAAUUCCGGCCUUCACCUUGAAGCUGAGCGACCUGAAGGAGUACGAACAGGCUAAGCAGGAGAAAAUCGACAGGAAAGCGUGUCAGAACGAUAGCAGCAAGCAGCCGAAGUCGGCUACCUCCCAACCGGCACGCAAAUUGCCCACAAAUGUGAAUUCAUUUAAUUAGUAAAUAAGUUCGCUGUGUACUGGGUGCAUGUCGGUUGCAGUGCGAUGGAAGAUAGACCUGCUAGAUAUCACAGAACAAGAUGGUGAAGGUAUUUGAUGCCAUUGAUGUUCUGUGAAUGCAAACAAAAAAAAAACAAUCUAGAAUUAAAAAUAAAUUGAGAAGAUAAGGCGAAAA
This is a long non-coding RNA of Anopheles stephensi (Asian malaria mosquito), 638 nucleotides long. RefSeq lists it as uncharacterized. The transcript is spliced from 2 exons. The record is from RefSeq and is a predicted model, not a curated record. Lineage: Eukaryota; Metazoa; Arthropoda; Insecta; Diptera; Culicidae.